GUGGGGAAUCUUAGACAAUGGGGGAAACCCUGAUCUAGCCAUGCCGCGUGAGCGAUGAAGGCCUUAGGGUUGUAAAGCUCUUUCAGCUGGGAAGAUAAUGACGGUACCAGCAGAAGAAGCCCCGACUAACUCCGUGCCAGCAGCCGCGGUAAUACGGAGGGGGCUAGCGUUGUUCGGAAUUACUGGGCGUAAAGCGCGCGUAGGCGGACCAGAAAGUUGGAGGUGAAAUCCCAGGGCUCAACCUUGGAACUGCCUUCAAAACUCCUGGUCUGGAGUUCGAGAGAGGUGAGUGGAAUUCCGAGUGUAGAGGUGAAAUUCGUAGAUAUUCGGAGGAACACCAGUGGCGAAGGCGGCUCACUGGCUCGAUACUGACGCUGAGGUGCGAAAGCGUGGGGAGCAAACAGGAUUAGAAACCCGGGUAGUCC
Molecule: ribosomal RNA, 425 nt
Filed under: uncultured bacterium
Lineage: Bacteria
Description: partial 16S ribosomal RNA
Rfam family: Bacterial small subunit ribosomal RNA
Source: RNAcentral